GAUGAAGAACGUAGCGAAAUGCGAUAACUAAUGUGAAUUGCAGAAUUCCGUGAAUCAUCGAGUCUUUGAACGCACAUUGCGCCCCCUGGUAUUCCGGGGGGCAUGCCUGUCCGAGCGUCAUUUCACCACUCAAGCCUGGCUUGGUGUUGGGCGACGUCCCCUUUGGGGACGCGCCUCGAAACGCUCGGCGGCGUGGCACCGGCUUUAAGCGUAGCAGAAUCUUUCGCUUUGGAAGUCGGGGCCCCGUCUGCCGGAAGACCUACUCGCAAGGUUGACCUCGGAUCAGGCAGGGAUACCCGCUGAACUUAAGCAUAUCAAUAAGCGGAGGA
This 329-nucleotide unclassified non-coding RNA is filed under the name soil metagenome. Its description in RNAcentral is "partial contains 5.8S ribosomal RNA, internal transcribed spacer 2, and large subunit ribosomal RNA". The stretch from base 1 to 120 matches the Rfam family "5.8S ribosomal RNA", at positions 35 to 154 of the family's 154-position model. The record is from RNAcentral.